CACGUAGGCGGCUUUUCAAGUCAGGGGUGAAAUCCCGGGGCUCAACCCCGGAACUGCCCUUGAAACUGGAUCGCUAGAAUACUGGAGAGGCAAGUGGAGUUCCGAGUGUAGAGGUGAAAUUCGUAGAUAUUCGGAAGAACACCAGUGGCGAAGGCGACUUGCUGGACAGUGAUUGACGCUGAGGUGCGAAAGCGUGGGGAGCAAACA
This 207-nucleotide ribosomal RNA is filed under the name uncultured bacterium. RNAcentral describes it as "partial 16S ribosomal RNA". It matches the Rfam family "Bacterial small subunit ribosomal RNA", at positions 568 to 774 of the family's 1533-position model. The record is from RNAcentral.